AUACAUACCUGGCAGGGGAGAGCCCAUGAUCACAGAGGUCAUUUUUCCAGGGUGAGGCCUAUCCAUUGCACUUCAGGCAGGCAGACCCCUGCAAAUUUCCCCAAACGCAGGAAACUUGACUGCAAUUUUUUCGGCAAUGCAGAACUUCUUUCUUGCUUUUCCCCU
Molecule: small nuclear RNA, 165 nt
Filed under: Crocodylus porosus (Australian saltwater crocodile)
Lineage: Eukaryota; Metazoa; Chordata; Crocodylia; Crocodylidae
Description: U1 spliceosomal RNA (ENSCPRG00005007639.1)
Rfam family: U1 spliceosomal RNA
About the family: U1 is a small nuclear RNA (snRNA) component of the spliceosome (involved in pre-mRNA splicing).
Source: Rfam by way of RNAcentral